This 490-nucleotide ribosomal RNA is filed under the name uncultured bacterium. RNAcentral's name for it is "partial 16S ribosomal RNA". It matches the Rfam family "Bacterial small subunit ribosomal RNA", at positions 30 to 507 of the family's 1533-position model. The record is from RNAcentral.
AUUGAACGCUGGCGGCAGGCCUAACACAUGCAAGUCGAACGGUAACAGGAAGAAGCUUGCUUCUUUGCUGACGAGUGGCGGACGGGUGAGUAAUGUCUGGGAAACUGCCUGAUGGAGGGGAAUAACUACUGGAAACGGUAGCUAAUACCGCAUAACGUCGCAAGACCAAAGAGGGGGACCUUCGGGCCUCUUGCCAUCGGAUGUGCCCAGAUGGGAUUAGCUAGUAGGUGGGGUAACGGCUCACCUAGGCGACGAUCCCUAGCUGGUCUGAGAGGAUGACCAGCCACACUGGAACUGAGACACGGUCCAGACUCCUACGGGAGGCAGCAGUGGGGAAUAUUGCACAAUGGGCGCAAGCCUGAUGCAGCCAUGCCGCGUGUAUGAAGAAGGCCUUCGGGUUGUAAAGUACUUUCAGCGGGGAGGAAGGGAGUAAAGUUAAUACCUUUGCUCAUUGACGUUACCCGCAGAAGAAGCACCGGCUAACUCCGUG